Molecule: non-coding RNA, 286 nt
Organism: Paralichthys olivaceus (Japanese flounder)
Lineage: Eukaryota; Metazoa; Chordata; Actinopteri; Pleuronectiformes; Paralichthyidae
Source: RefSeq, a predicted model, not a curated record
AACAGAUCUCAUGACUGGACGCCAGAUUUAGCGAACCUGAAUGACUCGUAAAUAAAAACUUCAGUGCGUCUCUCCACAGAAACAUAUGCAUGCCUUUAGGGCAGGGGCCACAGCUGUAGGAGCCAAAGCUGUUCAAGCACUGGACUCCAGGGAAACAGGGAUUUCUUUCACACUCAUUGACAUCUUCCAGACAUGUGGACACUCGCAUCUGUACCCACCGGCUGUAUUGACGCACUUUCCAGCGGCGCACGGAGUUGACAGACACGCCUCUUCGUCCUUGUCGCAG